RNAcentral lists this ribosomal RNA (1343 nucleotides) under uncultured bacterium. Its description in RNAcentral is "16S ribosomal RNA". It matches the Rfam family "Bacterial small subunit ribosomal RNA", at positions 28 to 1378 of the family's 1533-position model. The record is from RNAcentral.
GACGAACGCUGGCGGCGUGCUUAACACAUGCAAGUCGAACGGAAAGGCCCUGCUUUUGUGGGGUGCUCGAGUGGCGAACGAGUGAGUAACACGUGAGUAACCUGCCCUUGACUUUGGGAUAACUUCAGGAAACUGGGGCUAAUACCGGAUAGGAGCUCCUGCUGCAUGGUGGGGGUUGGAAAGUUUCGGCGGUUGGGGAUGGACUCGCGGCUUAUCAGCUUGUUGGUGGGGUAGUGGCUUACCAAGGCUUUGACGGGUAGCCGGCCUGAGAGGGUGACCGGCCACAUUGGGACUGAGAUACGGCCCAGACUCCUACGGGAGGCAGCAGUGGGGAAUAUUGCACAAUGGGCGGAAGCCUGAUGCAGCAACGCCGCGUGCGGGAUGACGGCCUUCGGGUUGUAAACCGCUUUCGCCUGUGACGAAGCGUGAGUGACGGUAAUGGGUAAAGAAGCACCGGCUAACUACGUGCCAGCAGCCGCGGUGAUACGUAGGGUGCGAGCGUUGUCCGGAUUUAUUGGGCGUAAAGGGCUCGUAGGUGGUUGAUCGCGUCGGAAGUGUAAUCUUGGGGCUUAACCCUGAGCGUGCUUUCGAUACGGGUUGACUUGAGGAAGGUAGGGGAGAAUGGAAUUCCUGGUGGAGCGGUGGAAUGCGCAGAUAUCAGGAGGAACACCAGUGGCGAAGGCGGUUCUCUGGGCCUUUCCUGACGCUGAGGAGCGAAAGCGUGGGGAGCGAACAGGCUUAGAUACCCUGGUAGUCCACGCUGUAAACGGUGGGUACUAGGUGUGGGGUCCAUUCCACGGGUUCCGUGCCGUAGCUAACGCUUUAAGUACCCCGCCUGGGGAGUACGGCCGCAAGGCUAAAACUCAAAGGAAUUGACGGGGCCCCGCACAAGCGGCGGAGCAUGCGGAUUAAUUCGAUGCAACGCGUAGAACCUUACCUGGGUUUGACAUGGAUCGGGAGCGCUCAGAGAUGGGUGUGCCUCUUUUGGGGUCGGUUCACAGGUGGUGCAUGGCUGUCGUCAGCUCGUGUCGUGAGAUGUUGGGUUAAGUCCCGCAACGAGCGCAACCCUUGUUCACUGUUGCCAGCACGUUAUGGUGGGGACUCAGUGGAGACCGCCGGGGUCAACUCGGAGGAAGGUGGGGAUGACGUCAAGUCAUCAUGCCCCUUAUGUCCAGGGCUUCACGCAUGCUACAAUGGCUGGUACAGAGAGUGGCGAGCCUGUGAGGGUGAGCGAAUCUCGGAAAGCCGGUCUCAGUUCGGAUUGGGGUCAGCAACUCGACCUCAUGAAGUCGGAGUCGCUAGUAAUCGCAGAUCAGCAACGCUGCGGUGAAUACGUUCCCGGG